UUAUGAGAAGCAAAAAAAUUGCAUUUAGUUUCGACCUAAAAGUAAGGCUGCCCCGCCCUCAU
Molecule: transfer RNA, 62 nt
Filed under: Stricticollis tobias
Lineage: Eukaryota; Metazoa; Arthropoda; Insecta; Coleoptera; Anthicidae
Description: tRNA-Arg
Source: RNAcentral